AUUUUAUCCCUUCUAUAUUAUAUAAUUAAAUUUAAAUGAUAAACAUAGAUAUAAAAUAUAUUUUUUAGGAAGCUGUUUAUUAAAUGAAAAUUUUUAAUCAUAUGGUUUUAUGAUUAUUGUUAUCUUAUAACAAAUUUUUUAACCAUUAAUAAAAAAAUUAAUUUGAGAUGUCUAAUAGUUUUAGUAAUUUAUAAUCAUUUUUAAUUGAAUGCAAAUUUCAACCAAACCGAAAACAAACCGAGAACCAAACGGGUACUCAGAUAUAUAACACUAUUAAUUAUAUAUACAUAUAACAUAGCUAAAUAUAUAUUUAUAAUUUAAAAAUCUAUUAAAAGUACCAAAAAAUAUUUGAAAAUAACUAAAUUAUUAUAAAGUAUCCGAACUACCCGAAAAUAUCUGAAAUCCGAAACU
Molecule: long non-coding RNA, 411 nt
Filed under: Brassica napus (rape)
Lineage: Eukaryota; Viridiplantae; Streptophyta; Magnoliopsida; Brassicales; Brassicaceae
Description: long non-coding RNA (BNAP_LNC026123)
Source: RNAcentral